RNAcentral lists this unclassified non-coding RNA (200 nucleotides) under Helotiales sp. RNAcentral's name for it is "partial contains internal transcribed spacer 2 and large subunit ribosomal RNA". The record is from RNAcentral. RNAcentral also lists the same sequence under 1 other name. Lineage: Eukaryota; Fungi; Ascomycota; Leotiomycetes; Helotiales.
GAGCGUCAUUUAAACCAAUCCAGCCUCGUGCUUGGGUCUUGGGCCUUUCGCCUCUGGGCGGGCCUCAAAAUCAGUGGCGGUGCCGUCUGGCUCUAAGCGUAGUAAUACUCCUCGCUAUAGACGUCUGGUGGUGUCUUGCCAACAACCCCUAAUUUUUAAAGGUUGACCUCGGAUCAGGUAGGGAUACCCGCUGAACUUAA